ACCACAAAUUUUCCCCCUUCAUAUCUCCACACACACACUACCUCUUCAAUCAGCUAUAUAUAUAUUUAUGGUUCAUUAGUCUAUUAUUUAAGUAUUCAAACAACAACUUGAUACACCUUAUUUUCCCAUAUUUUCAUAACUUGUUCACACAGCAAACUUUGAAGUAUAAAGAGAAUUUAUUAAUGGCUGCUACUGCUACUGCUACUGCUGGUUCAUUUUCAAUGAAGGGUUCGAAGGUUCGAUCGCUGGGACGAUACAGUUCGAAGCAAGUUCGUCAGCAGAGAGCAAGGUGCUGCCAUGGGAGCUUUGGGGUGUGAAAUUAUUAACACUCAAAGGUGAUGCAGUAGUUUUUUUUACUACAGGGUAGGGUAGGUGAAGGAAUAUAAUUAAGGAGCUAGAUGAAGCAGGAGUUUCAGCUUAAACUGUAAAUUACAAUUAGUAUUCAGCCAUGUAUAGAUAUAAUGAUAAUUAUAAUGAUAAUUUUCAAGUUGAA
This is a long non-coding RNA of Lathyrus oleraceus (garden pea), 493 nucleotides long. RefSeq lists it as uncharacterized. NCBI's taxonomy places the organism in Eukaryota, Viridiplantae, Streptophyta, Magnoliopsida, Fabales, Fabaceae. The record is from RefSeq and is a predicted model, not a curated record. The transcript has 2 exons.